AGAGUUUGAUCAUGGCUCAGAACGAACGCUGGCGGCGUGGAUAAGACAUGCAAGUCGAGCGCUGAUUACAGGGUAGCAAUAUUCUGUAGUCGGAGCGGCGCAAGGGUGCGUAACACGUGGGCAAUCUGCCGUGAAGUCGGGGACAACUUGCUGAAAGGCGAGCUAAUACCGGAUGUAAAAAUCGGAAGGCAUCUUCUGAUUUUCAAAGCUGGGGACCGUAAGGCCUGGCGCUUCAUGAUGAGCCCGCGGCCUAUCAGCUAGUUGGUGAGGUAACGGCUCACCAAGGCUAAGACGGGUAGCUGGUCUGAGAGGACGACCAGCCACACUGGAACUGAGACACGGUCCAGACACCUACGGGUGGCAGCAGUCGAGAAUUUUUCACAAUGGGCGAAAGCCUGAUGGAGCGACGCCGCGUGGGGGAUGAAUGGCUUCGGCCCGUAAACCCCUGUCAUUUGCGAUCAAACCUCUUCAUUUAAAAGAUGAUGAGCUGAUAGUAGCGAAAGAGGAAGGGACGGCUAACUCUGUGCCAGCAGCCGCGGUAAUACAGAGGUCCCAAGCGUUGUUCGGAUUCACUGGGCGUAAAGGGUGCGUAGGUGGCGAGGUAAGUCGGAUGUGAAAGCUCGGAGCUCAACUCCGAAAUGGCAUUGGAAACUACCUUGCUCGAGGGUUGGAGGGGGGACUGGAAUUCUCGGUGUAGCAGUGAAAUGCGUAGAUAUCGAGAGGAACACCAGUGGCGAAGGCGAGUCCCUGGACAACUCCUGACACUGAGGCACGAAAGCUAGGGGAGCAAACAGGAUUAGAUACCCCCGUAGUCC
This 815-nucleotide ribosomal RNA is filed under the name uncultured bacterium. Its description in RNAcentral is "bacterial SSU rRNA". It matches the Rfam family "Bacterial small subunit ribosomal RNA", at positions 8 to 796 of the family's 1533-position model. The record is from RNAcentral.